Molecule: long non-coding RNA, 1640 nt
Organism: Pygocentrus nattereri (red-bellied piranha)
Lineage: Eukaryota; Metazoa; Chordata; Actinopteri; Characiformes; Serrasalmidae
Exons: 4
Source: RefSeq, a predicted model, not a curated record
CAGUAUGUUUGUAUUAUUGAGUGGUUUGAGCUGAACUACAAAUCAGGUAUUAUUCAGUCACUGUGAGACAACAAAGAGAUCUUGUCUAGCUUUGAUUUGAGAGACAACAGAUCCAGACUAACCGGAUACCAGCUGCAGUCGAGCGUAAACACUAAUUCAUGUUAACCCAACAGGAAAUUCAGCUUUUAGAAGAUGAGCAACACAAGCUUCUGCCAACCACAGUGCAGCAGCUGUUCUGCUUUUAUAUCUACAGCAACAAGAGCGGGCACCUCACGCUGCCGGCUGACCUGCGCUGUUCAAGGCUACUAAGGAGGAGCCUUCAUAGGACAGUCCUACCGAGGACCUGCACCACCUCAGCUACAGCCAAGGCUCUGGAACGCAGCUCUUGAGUAAGAAGUUCAUGUGACUGGAUGUGGCCUGCUCAUCAAAAUUCACGCUGCUGUCCACGAUGUCGAAAACAGUGAUGGUGUCUCCAAAUCUCCAGAACACAGUGCCUUUAACCAGCAGGGCCUCAUGACUGUUUGAACACGAGCUGCUCCUGGCUGCCCAUUUUGGGUGAUGGACCACUCUCAUCCUAGGAAUGUUCUACGGCUGGUCCAGCACCACAGAACCAGCCCACCUGAUUCACCCAAACAGUGUCAUAUUUGAGUUAAAACACAUUUAACACACUCGUGUCCAGAACUGUGCAGCAGCAGAUGCGCUACAGUCUAUAACUGUAACGUUAGUGGACCUCAAAGGGUGGACGGAGCUCAUGAAGUGGACAGAGAGGGAAAUACAAAAUAAAAGUCUCUAAUAAGGUGGACGGUCGGUGUAUGGAAAUUAUAGAGCAGCAGGACGGAGAGCGCCUUUGCUCGAGAACCGUCGCCUAAAGAUUGUACUGAGUAUUCAUGUCUCCAGGGCUGAACUCAAGUGGACAGACAGACAGAUGCCAGUGUCCUUGUUGGUCCUAACCACUGAUACCCGUUCCUAGACGCCUUAUUGUCCACUGAUCUCUAUCUGAGGGGAUACGUCUGCGCGUCCGCCAUGUUGGAGUGGUCAAGAACUGAUGUGAACAGAUUCAUUUGUAUUGAGAGACGAAGAGUCUUGGGAUUGAAUCAGCCACAACUUCCUUUAAUCUCACACACUUUAGCAAAUAUAUAUAUAUAUAUAUAUAUAUAUAUAUUUUGUGUGUGUGUGUGUGUGUGUGUGUGUGUGUGUGAAUCACUCCUAAUCUGAAUAUACAUAAAAUAAUCCCCCAAAACACUAAGAAGGAUGAAGCUGAAGUUGGCUUCCUAUUCGCCAGGUUCGAUUUAGUUUUUAGCUCUUACUUAAAGUGAGUUUUAUAAGAAUUACUUUUAGUACAGUUCUGUUAAAUGUUAUUUGAGUUAGCACCCUGGGCCUGGCCUGAGAGAGGUUUUCCAGUGGAGGUCUUCAAUCAGCAAAAUAAACAGGAUGGAAUUAACAUUCCUCCUAGCCGUACCACUUCCGAUCUGCUAAAUUAUAACUACCACGUUGAUAAGAUUUCGGGGUGGAUGACGCCAUCAUCUACCUUCUGCAUGGAGCUCUUUCUCACUUGGAGAAGCCUGGGGGCACUGUGAGAAUCAUGUUCUUUGAUUUCUCCAGUGCUUUCAACACCAUACAGCCUGGGCUCCUGAAGGACA